AAUCAUCUAACCUACAAGUAAGUGGUUUAUCUUUAUUUAUUUUUAAGUUUUUAAUUGUUUCAUAAUUUAAUUGAAGAAUGGCAGGAGAAAUAAACGAUGAAUUAUUACUACAGUGUGUGGCGAACUAUCGGCCGUUAUAUGACAAGAGCUACGAAGGGUACAAAUCAGUUCUUCAAAAAGAGAACUGUUGGAGAUCAGUGGCCGAUUCACUGAACAGAGAUGGUAAAUUGCAGAAUUAGUUGCAACAGUUAAAGCUCGCUUUAAAGCCCUUCGAGAAAAAUACCGUAGGGAAAUAAGUACAGAAGAAAAGUUGAACCGUAGCGGCGCACCUGCCAAUACAAGACCUACUUGGCCACUUAUGAGCUUUUUUAAGUUUUUAUAUAAAAGUGAUGGACAAAGUAGGCAAACAACUACAAAUCUGCCCUCAAGUUCAGGUGAAAGUAGUAGUAUCAACUCUGAAGUGGAAACUGAAAUAAUUACAUUCAUUGACCAUGACUACGAAGGUUGUUUUUCACCUGUCAGUAACAACACAUGGCAAAGCGAAAUGGAGAAUACUCCACAACGAAAAGGGAAGCAAAGUACAAAAAGAAAGUGUGACCGGUCUGAUGUCGUUGAAAUUGAUUCUGUGCUUAAGGAUGUGUCCAGUGCAUUACUUUCGUUAAAUAAUACAGACAACAAUGGUACAAAAUAUGAGAAAUUUGGCCAAUAUGUAGCUGCCGAGCUAAAAGACAUGACUACAAGUCACGCAGAUGAAGUAAUGGAUGCAUUAACACUUCAAUUAGUUUCAUUCAAAAAACGCAUUAGAGAUCAAUCCUUCAGUUAGUUAAGUAGUUUGCGAUGUAUUUAUAACAAUGUCAUUAACGAUUUAGUUCAAGUUUAUUAUGCAUACAGGGUGGAUGUUUAGUUUUAAUAUUGGAAAUGAUUUGUUAGCGAAUUUACUAAUUCAAGGUUUUCGACGAUACUAUUACAUUGUAUGGUUCAAGAUUUUCAUUAUUUUAUUUCAUUAAGCAAUACAAUCUUCAAAAUGAUAUUAGAACAUUACAGUAUUAAACGUUUCAAUUAGUUUUAUUUAUUACAUUCCACUGCCAUGGUGCUAAAGAUGCUCCUGAACCAUUGAAGUAUUCUUUUAAAUAUGUUCUCAUAGCUAAGGCAGUUUCACCAGAAUUUCUAGCACCUAACCGCAGUCGAAGGUUUGUCAGAGCCCCAUCAACUGGAGCCUCAGUCCUCCAUCUCCCAGAAAUUAAC
RNA transcript from Photinus pyralis (common eastern firefly), 1245 nucleotides. RefSeq lists it as uncharacterized. NCBI's taxonomy places the organism in Eukaryota, Metazoa, Arthropoda, Insecta, Coleoptera, Lampyridae. The transcript is spliced from 2 exons. The record is from RefSeq and is a predicted model, not a curated record.